GCUCAGUUCAGUUUAAAUAGUAUCUGAAUAAUAAUUUGCAAUCAAGUCAACGAUAUCGCUGUAAAUGAAGUGUCCCCAACUAAGCAAGCCAGAGGCGACAGCGGCAAGGAACCAAAACUCCAUCUGUGACAGAAUGGAGAAAAAACCUUGGGAGAAACCAGGCUCAGUCAGGGGGCUAGUUCUCCUCUGACCGGACGAAACCAGCAGUGCAAUUCCAGGUGGUCGUCUGAGACAAGGGGGAUCUGUCUCUGGGGCUCUAGUUGUCCUGGUCUCCGCUGUCUUUCAGGGCUGUAGAGGUCCUCUCUAGGUGCUGAUCCACCAUCUGGGCUGGAUACGUACUGGAUCCGGGUGACUGCAGUGACCCUCUGACUUGGAUACAGACUGGAUCUGGUGGCUACGGUGACCUCGGAAUAAGAGAGAAACAGACUAAUAUUAGCGUAGAUGCCAUUCUUCUAACGAUGUAACAAGUACAUCGGGUGUUAUGGGAAGUGUUCCCGGUUCAGGUUUACCUAAUUAUUGCAGCCUAAAUAUCCUUUAACGGAUUUGGAUAUUAGAAGCGUAUUAGUGUGCUAUGUGUAAACCAGGUUAAAGAGAUGGGUCUUUAAUCUAGAUUUAAACUGCAAGAGUGUGUCUGCCUCCCGAACAAUGUUAGGUAGGUUAUUCCAGAGUUUGGGCGCUAAAUAGGAAAAUGAUCUGCCGCCCGCAGUUGACUUUGAUAUUCUAGGUAUUAUCAAAUGGCCAUUGCAGCAGAUGUGAAGGACUACAAUACGAUAUGAGCUCGCUCAAGUACUGAGGAGCUAAACCAUUCAGGGCUUUAUAAGUAAUUACAAAAACACAGUAUAACACAUUUUAAAAUGUAUUUGUUGUUCAAUAGGGAGCAAGUGCAGAGUUGACAGAACCAGGCUAAUAUGUUCAUACUUCAUCGUUCUAGUAAGAACUCUCGCUGCUGCAUUUUGGACCAGCUGGAGUUUAAGCGUGCAGAGCAACCACCCAAUAAAGCAUUACAAUAAUCUAGAAACAUGGUUUUCAAAGGAAAGAUUGCUAUCAAAUAGUACACCUAGAUUGCUAACUGAUUAUGAAGAAUUGACAGAGCAGCCAUCAAGUGUUAGACUGUGUUUUUGUUUAUUACAUGCAGAGGUUUUUGGUUCAAUAAUUAACACCUCUGUUUUUUCAGAACUUAGCCGUAGGAAAUUACAGUCAUCCAGUUCCUCUUCAGGAACUCGAGCUGCGUCAAACGCUUUGGGGAACACGUCUAGCGUGAGCGACUCUGAAUAUCGUGUGUAAUCAGUUCAAUGAAAGAGCGUGACGUCACGGGCGGGGUGACGUAAGUGACCAGGAAGCUAUAAAAGCACAUGCCGCGCAGCUGGCAUCAGCUUCGCGUCUUCAGCAAGCGCUCUGUGUGUGAAUGUCCUCAGUUUGUCUUGUGAGUCUUAUUUACUGUUGUCUGUCCAGUAGCUCCAAGUCAUGUCUAAGAGCAAGGCGAAAACAAAGCAUACUAGAGGCGAAUCCGGAUCGCGUUUCAGACUGUGUGUCCCUCCCUGCCCGCGCUACAUAACGAGUGGGGAUACACACAGUCUGUGCGUGGUCAUUCUCAGCCCGCCUGUACAUCCCCUCUUCAGAUUACUACGGCAAUGUAGUGGGGAUGGCAGAGCGCUGCUACAGGGCGAUGCCCCGGGUGGAGAGGCAUUUAUGGCUGACCCUGUCCGAAAUGAAAGAGCGGGACAGGGUCUGCCUUAUGGACGCCCCGAUCCAGCCUUCUGGCCUGUUCGGCGACGCAGUCAACACUGUCGUCGACAGGUUUCAGGAGGCUCGCAAACAGGCGGCGGCGUUCCAUAAAUUCCUCCCUCGUCGCUCCCUCGGGGCAUCUGGGCAGGAGAUGCCCCAGCCGCACCCUAGCUCCUCACACCGAGAGGCUCAAAAACAGAGCGUCGCCUCUCUCUCAGCGACGCUCUCGGCCGAGGUCUUCGAGGCCCAAACAAGAUUUAAGGGCGGUUAUCGAUGCUAAGAAGGCCUCGG
This is a long non-coding RNA of Cyprinus carpio carpio, 2016 nucleotides long. The record is from Ensembl. NCBI's taxonomy places the organism in Eukaryota, Metazoa, Chordata, Actinopteri, Cypriniformes, Cyprinidae.